UACGUAGGGGCGAGCGUUGUCCGGAAUUAUUGGGCGUAAAGGGUUUGUAGGCGGUAAUACAUGUCAGAUGUGAAAUCUUGUGGCUUAACCACAUCAAGCAUCUGAAACUGUAUAACUUGAGUGGAGGAGAGGUAAGUGGAAUUCCUAGUGUAGCGGUGAAAUGCGUGGAUAUUAGGAAGAAUACCAGUAGCGAAGGCGACUUACUGGCCUCUAACUGACGCUGAUGAACGAAAGCGUGGGUAGCAAACAGGAUUAGAUACCCUGGUA
Molecule: ribosomal RNA, 267 nt
Filed under: uncultured prokaryote
Description: partial 16S ribosomal RNA
Rfam family: Bacterial small subunit ribosomal RNA
Source: RNAcentral